CUGAUUGGGUGCGGGGCCCGCAAGGGUUACCAAGCUCAGUCAAACUCCGAAUGCCAUAGAUUUAGUUCCGGGAGUCAGACAGUGAGUGCUAAGAUCCAUUGUCGAAAGGGAAACAGCCCAGACCAUCAGCUAAGGUCCCCAAGUGUGUGUUAAGUGGGAAAGGAUGUGGAGUUGCACAGACAACCAGGAUGUUGGCUUAGAAGCAGCCACCAUUGAAAGAGUGCGUAAUAGCUCACUGGUCGAGUGACUCUGCGCCGAAAAUGUAACGGGGCUCAACACACCACCGAAGCUAUGGCUUGAUGCUUGCAUCAGGGGUAGGGGAGCGUUGAAUGCGGGUUGAAGGUGUACCGGAAGGAGCGCUGGACUGCAUUCAAGUGAGAAUGCCGGUAUGAGUAACGAAAAGAUCUGUGAGAAUCAGAUCCGCCGAAAGCCUAAGGGUUCCUGAGGAAGGUUCGUCCGCUCAGGGUAAGUCGGGACCUAAGGCGAGGCCGAUAGGCGUAGUCGAAGGACAACAGGUAGAAAUUCCUGUACCACCGUAAUCCGUGAUGAGCGAUGGGGUGACGCAGUAGGGUAGUGACGCGGACUGAUGGAUGUCCGUCUAAGCAGUAAGGCUGAUGUGUUAGGCAAAUCCGGCACUCGUAAGGUUGAGUUGUGAUGGGGAGUUGGAUCAUGUAUCCGACGAGUCGUUGAUUUCACACUGCCAAGAAAAGCCUCUAGUUAGGAGAUAGGUGCCCGUACCGCAAACCGACACAGGUAGUCGAGAUGAGAAUUCUAAGGUGCGCGGGCGAACUCUCGUUAAGGAACUCGGCAAAAUGACCCCGUAACUUCGGGAGAAGGGGUGCCUCGGUAGGGUGAAUAGCCCGAGGGGGCCGCAGUGAAAAGGCCCAAGCGACUGUUUAGCAAAAACACAGGUCUGUGCGAAGCCGCAAGGCGAAGUAUACGGGCUGACGCCUGCCCGGUGCUGGAAGGUUAAGGGGAGUGGUAAGCUCGAAAGAGCGAAGCUAUGAACAGAACCCCCAGUA
RNAcentral lists this ribosomal RNA (1022 nucleotides) under Enterobacter cancerogenus. RNAcentral describes it as "bacterial LSU rRNA". It matches the Rfam family "Bacterial large subunit ribosomal RNA", at positions 910 to 1925 of the family's 2925-position model. Lineage: Bacteria; Pseudomonadati; Pseudomonadota; Gammaproteobacteria; Enterobacterales; Enterobacteriaceae. The record is from RNAcentral.